Molecule: ribosomal RNA, 213 nt
Filed under: Triticum aestivum (bread wheat)
Lineage: Eukaryota; Viridiplantae; Streptophyta; Magnoliopsida; Poales; Poaceae
Description: partial small subunit ribosomal RNA
Source: RNAcentral
AUGGCUUCUCCCGCUGUCAAAUUCGCCGCCGUCGUGCUCCUGGCCGCCCUCUGUGCCACGGCGCUGGCCCCGGGCAUAUCGGGGCAGCCGACUGAUGACGGGCUAGCAAUGUGCAUCGCGCGCUGCGGGUGUGUGCCCUGCCCGAAAGGGAGGUUCUGCCCCGCCGUGUGCACGACCCCGCCUGCCUGCAAGGCCAAAUGCGAGUCCGGCUAG